UUGAUAGUAAUUGGACGGACGAAAUUCAUUUACUCUAUUCUUGACACUAUAAUUAUUGCGCAAAUCAUGAAAAUCGUUUCUCCUACCAUUUGUUCUAGGAUAUGCAUCAUUUCUAGAAUAGUUGUUUCUAGGUUGGAAGUCAUUUCUAGGUGUUCUAAAAGGUUCAAAAAUCUUUCUAAUGUUUGGCCUAGAAUGUGCAUUAU
RNAcentral lists this long non-coding RNA (203 nucleotides) under Nicotiana benthamiana. Its description in RNAcentral is "long non-coding RNA (NBEN_LNC028060)". The record is from RNAcentral. Lineage: Eukaryota; Viridiplantae; Streptophyta; Magnoliopsida; Solanales; Solanaceae.